Molecule: ribosomal RNA, 513 nt
Filed under: Triticum aestivum (bread wheat)
Lineage: Eukaryota; Viridiplantae; Streptophyta; Magnoliopsida; Poales; Poaceae
Description: partial small subunit ribosomal RNA
Source: RNAcentral
CUGAUACGGCGAGUCGGAAACGGUGCUACCACCAACACAUGGACAGAUAAUUGGCUCCCAAGGAAAGAGAUGCUCCGGCCCUAUGGGUGCAUUUCGGCGAACCCACCGCAUCUUGUGUCAGAAUUGAUAGAUCCAACUUCAACGAGCUGGAUCAAGCAAAGGGUGAAUGAGGUCUUCAUGCCAAUGGACGCAAAUAUCAUAUUGGGCAUUCCGCUCUGUACUCGCAACAUAGACGACUUCUGGUCGUGGAACUUUGAGACCAAAGGCACUUUUUCAGUUAAAUCAGCGUACAAAAUGCUCUCAGAAACUAAACAGCGCCGGGAGGCAUGGCUUAAUGGGGCACCAGGAACGUCAUCGUCGCAGUCAGAGGAAGGGAUGUGGAAAAAACUGUGGAAAACUGAAGUUCCUGGUAAAGUCCGGAUGUUUCUUUGGAGAUUGUCAAAACACUCCCUCCCCACGGAGGAUGUGCGAGCCCGCCGCCAUAUGACAACGUCUAGCAGCUGCGGGCUAUGU